This is a long non-coding RNA of Hemicordylus capensis (graceful crag lizard), 468 nucleotides long. RefSeq lists it as uncharacterized. The transcript is spliced from 2 exons. Lineage: Eukaryota; Metazoa; Chordata; Lepidosauria; Squamata; Cordylidae. The record is from RefSeq and is a predicted model, not a curated record.
UCCUAGCUUGAAGCUUGUUCUCUAGCUUGACUCCUGGUUUGAUUUUCUAGCCCCUACUUGAUGACUCUAGCUCCUACUGCCUAUGACUCAACUCAGACAGGGAAUGUUGUGAUCAUUCCAGCCGGUUUACAAUUUACUUGUGGUUGUAUUGCAGAUUUGUUGAGAGAUGGUGCAUGCCAGCAACACAGAGGCCAGCCGAAACAGUUUUCAUGUGGAAGCGUGCCCUAGCUGUGGAGGUGGAGGGUGACUUGCACAGCGGUGAGAACAGAGGAAUUUCAAUUCUACCCUUGUCCUGCCCAAGGGCAUACCUUGAUUGAGCAAGAAGCCAACCUCUUUCCCCAGUCAGUGUCAUGCAUGCAACUAAUGGGAUGGCAUGCUCCUCUGCCCCAGCCUGUUCCACCCCAGGUUGAUGGAAAAUGCAAUAUCCAAUGGGACAUACCAUUUAUUAAAAUGUCAUGUGGUCACAUG